This is a non-coding RNA of Podarcis lilfordi (Lilford's wall lizard), 70 nucleotides long. Lineage: Eukaryota; Metazoa; Chordata; Lepidosauria; Squamata; Lacertidae. The record is from the annotation of a GenBank genome assembly.
GGAUAGCUCAGUUGGUCAGAGUGUGGUGCUUAUAAUGCCAAGGUCGUAGGUUUGAUCCCCAUAAGGGACA